UCGAUCGUCAAUAAACGCGGCUCGUAUGUCGAAACGUCCGGGACCUUCGCGGCGGUCAAACGUACUUCGCGCGCCGCGCACUUUGUCGGAUGUUCAGUACGCUUCCGGCCGCCGCGCGACGCGCACAUCGCGGCACGCACAUCCGUCCGCCAUUUGCGAUUUAUCUCGACUAGUUCAAACGUGCCUCUUCGCUCCUUGCAAUAUUCAAUAAGACUUUCAAUAAGAUAUCGCGUCACUUAACACGUAUACUUUUGAUCGAAUCGUAUAUCCGCGAGUGUCAGUGCCAGUGUCAAUGUCAACGGAGCAGCCAGGAUUCUGAGCCGGGAAACCAAGAGGCAGGACGACGGGACGCGGGCAGGGAUACUUCGUACAUUUUCAAGAUGGUCUCGUUUUGUUGAAGAUGUAAAUUAGAAGCAGCAGAGACAUUCUCCUAUAAAUGCACGAGUUAUUACGAGAAGGGAACUCUUGUGUUACAAUCCGCCCUGUUACCUGUCAUAUAUAGCACGCACAUUGGCUGUAAAAGGACACGAGAAAGGAAUAAAAGUCGUGUUGGCGAGUGUUGAAUAUUCGGGCGUAUUUGACAUCUACUCUUUCAUAACUUGGAUCAUAUACGAUGGAUCACAUCCGCCAAGGACAGCGCAUGACGCCUACAAACUAUCGGCAUAAAUUAUAAUUUCGAGAUGGUUGCCAAAUCAAUUGAUACCGAUCGUAGUACAGUUACACUAAAAAUAUGUACACCGCAAUUUGACGUCUCUUACGUUUGUUGCUUUUAAGAGCAACAACCAGAAAUAGAUAAAAUUCUUAUAAUAUUAUUCUGAUGUUUGAUU
Odontomachus brunneus is the source of this 827-nucleotide long non-coding RNA. RefSeq lists it as uncharacterized. The record is from RefSeq and is a predicted model, not a curated record. The transcript is spliced from 3 exons. Lineage: Eukaryota; Metazoa; Arthropoda; Insecta; Hymenoptera; Formicidae.